CAGUCGCCGCGGGAAUACGGAGGGUGCAAGCGUUAUCCGGAUUUAUUGGGUUUAAAGGGUCCGUAGGCGGAUCUGUAAGUCAGUGGUGAAAUCUCACAGCUUAACUGUGAAACUGCCAUUGAUACUGCAGGUCUUGAGUAAAUUUGAAGUGGCUGGAAUAAGUAGUGUAGCGGUGAAAUGCAUAGAUAUUACUUAGAACACCAAUUGCGAAGGCAGGUCACUAAGAUUUAACUGACGCUGAUGGACGAAAGCGUGGGGAGCAAACAGGAUUAGAUACCCCAGUAGUCCCUGUCUCUUAUAA
Molecule: ribosomal RNA, 301 nt
Filed under: uncultured bacterium
Lineage: Bacteria
Description: partial 16S ribosomal RNA
Rfam family: Bacterial small subunit ribosomal RNA
Source: RNAcentral